ACAGUAUGAACACACACCCACACACACAGAGUCACACAGUCAGACCAGGCAUUGCAGGAAAGCCACGUCAGGUCAGCACAUGAAUCCACGGAAAAGGACUGAUAAAUUAAUGUGACACAUCACAUCAUCUGACACCAACUAACGCUGAAUUUACAAAGGGACAUCACCCAAGCUGAACUGCCACAGACUCGGAAGCAGCUGUAGAGCCGGAGUAUCUGCCGUCCCGCUGAGAAAUCCAGAGCAUCACAACACCCAGAGAAAUACAAGAUGGCUGCUGGUCGUAUCGCUCGUGCUUUUGAAUACCCUGUGGGCGAAGAGAACAGGGCAGCAUUCAGAGAGAAAACACUACGUGUCAAUAAAGACAUUCUGUAUUAUCAUACAGGUGCUGAUGGUCCAACAUGUAGCCUCAUGUAUUUCAGCACACGUUUCAGAGAAUGGUUGGAUACACUGAGGCAACAAUACCCUGAACUUCAGGAAACUCAACAGAAUGGUAAAAUCAUCCUUCAGUCCAAGGAAGGUGGAGGUACCAUAACUUUGUAUCCGAGUGUAGAGGUUCUGGUACAUGGCAAAGAACUGAGGGACAGGUUUGAGCAUGAUUUUCCACAAAUGGUACAAGCAGUCAGGCCAGGUAUAGGUCGUACUGGUGAUGGAGCUCGCCCUUUUACAUACCCUGAAGAACUGACAAAAGACAGUCAGAAGGAGAGGUACAGAAAGGGAAUGCUGCAUGACAAUGAAGACACUCUCUUUUAUGACAAAAGGAAUGGUAAAAAAUACAACCUCGUUUUCUUUAGCAAACGUGUACUAAAAUGGCUGGAAUUAAUGAAGGAAAAGUAUCCUACACUUCAGGAAAAAACACAAGAUAAUCUUAUCAAACUCAAGGAUGAGACCAAGCGAGGUACCAUAAGCUUAUAUCCUGAUGUAAUAGCUGUGGUAGAAGGCCAGCUAAUGGAGAGGUUUGAGAGAGAUUUUCCACAACCAACUGACUUAGCAGCAGCAAUGGGAGGGUUAACCUUAAACAAUAAGAAAAAACAUCCUGAUGAGCCAGAGGGUGAGGGCACACUUGACACACCAUCUAACCCAGCCAACUGAGGAGAAAGAAUGCCUGAUGAAUAAGGAGAGAAACUAGAAUUACUGCCACGCUGUUGUUUGCCUCCGCGCACCAGUCAAGUUUCUCUUACAGUGAAAACACGAAUGCUCAAAGGCAUAAAAACACAGAAUAGAAAACUGUAAAUAGCUGAUUCUUAAAGCUUUAUCCUACUACUUUAUUUUAGGAAUAUGUAAUUGGGUUGUCAAAUCUAUUAUAUACUGUUUUCUGAUUUGUAUUUAGUUUGUAAGGCAGGGUUUCCCCGGGUUGUGUGUGAGUUUUAUUUUGCAGUUUUUCAGUUUAUAGCAAUAUAGAUGCCUUGACAUGGCGACUUAAUAGCGUAUGGGAAGAUUCUUAUAAACAUUGGUGCUCAUGCAUACAGGGGAAAUUUGUUUUGGUGUUUAUGUAUUGUUUCAGAAUGUGUCACAGAAAUGUCACGAUAAUGUAUCUUCUGAUUGUGUUGUAUGACCUCAGCACACUCUGGUCUGUCUGCAGGUUAUAGAGGAAACAAAGAGCAGCCUUGUACUCACUGAGCAG
Molecule: long non-coding RNA, 1621 nt
Organism: Epinephelus fuscoguttatus (brown-marbled grouper)
Lineage: Eukaryota; Metazoa; Chordata; Actinopteri; Perciformes; Serranidae
Exons: 4
Source: RefSeq, a predicted model, not a curated record